RNAcentral lists this transfer RNA (68 nucleotides) under Marmota monax (woodchuck). Its description in RNAcentral is "tRNA.Ala". Lineage: Eukaryota; Metazoa; Chordata; Mammalia; Rodentia; Sciuridae. The record is from RNAcentral.
GGAUUGUGGCUCAGUGGCAGAGCACUUGCCUCGCACAUGAGAGGCAAUGGGUUCAAUCCUCAGCACCA